Daphnia pulex (common water flea) is the source of this 125-nucleotide non-coding RNA. The record is from Rfam. Lineage: Eukaryota; Metazoa; Arthropoda; Branchiopoda; Diplostraca; Daphniidae.
GUCAUUGUGGCCGAGUGGUUAAGGCGCCAGACUUAAGAUACUAAUUCAAAUAGUAGAUUAAUAGGUAAUCUUGUUUGACAUUCUGGUCUUCGAAGAAGGCGUGGGUUCGUACCCCAUUCUUGACA